Molecule: long non-coding RNA, 718 nt
Organism: Camelina sativa (false flax)
Lineage: Eukaryota; Viridiplantae; Streptophyta; Magnoliopsida; Brassicales; Brassicaceae
Source: RefSeq, a predicted model, not a curated record
GGUUGCAUGGCAAAAAACCUAUUUUUUCUCUCUCGACUAAAACCUAAAACCAGCCGCCGUCCAUCCAGAUAUGUUUUCCGCUUGCCCUCUCCGGUGACCGGCGCUCCUCGUCGCAGCCGUGAGAGGGUACCCAGUAGUUCCCUUUUCGUUUAGUUGUUGUUUCCUUCGAUUCGUCUUACCUCUGGUGGUUAAGUAGAGAGGAGUUGUCAGGUUGACGGUGGUUCAUCUCGGCGAGCUUUAGAGGCAUGGCAGGUGGUCAGCUUCUCCAGAGAGAGUUGUCGUUCUGGGCUUCCGAGAUCUGUAGAUCUAAUGGUUGCUCUGUCUUAGAAAAGGAUUUGCGAAUCGGUGACCUUUUGUCUCGCUCCAGCUCCUUGGUCCGGCCUACAAGUUCUUAUGUGUCCUUUAGAGUUCUCUUUGGGUUCACUCUGGUUCGAUCUUCCGCUGUCCUUGUUUGUGAUUGGUGGUGUCCAGUUUGGAUUGUUCGCUCCUAGUCUCUGCUUUUCAGAUCUGUUCGAGGUCUGGUCCUAUGGGUUUUGCUUCUACCUAGGUGCAAAAAAGUCGCCUUGUAUACGACAUCGCCGUAUCCGGAAGAAGUGUGAAGAACUAAGUGGUUCUGUCUUUGCGGAUUAUGAAGAUUACCAUAGGAGUUCUGUUACUUUAGGCAGUUUCUUAGAGGAGGAAUGGAUUUUCGAAGGUUGGCCGAGGGCAUCUUCGUUUU